AGUAGCUAAAUAUGGUUGGUAAGUGGUAAGAUUGAGGUGUGAGGAAGAGUGGAAAAUAGUUGGAAAAAUAAGGGGAUAUCGGUCGAUGCUCUCUGUGUGGGGGAUGAGUGACAUCCCUCCUCUAUGUUCGCUUCCAGAUCAUCUGCUUAUUGUAAUUAUCUGACUGGCCAACUCUCUCUCGUGUCAACAAGCAAUUGGCUCAUCUCUUUCGCCAAGACUUGUUCUGGACUGCUGCUCUUCGUACCACUUUUCCUCUCUCUCUCUCUCUCCACGUCAACCCGUGGCCUGGCCCUAUUCCUCAAGCCUUCACCAAAAGGUACCCUACCCUAUUGGCCUGUCCAAACAUGGAUGUUUCAUUUCAUAAUCAUCAAUUCUUCUUCUUCUCCUCCCUCUUACCUAUGUCAGCAAACACAUCUUUUCACUCGGUGAAAAUUUGGAUGAUGAGGUUGUUGGUCACGUUUAUUUAUUUCUCAAAGACCAGCUUCAAAUCUCAAACAUGCCCCCUUUGUCCGCAGUACUUCACGGAACCAUCAUAGAUCAGUUUAUUGCCUGUGGUAAGUCGAGGGACACGGCUCAUGAGCUUGCUUCAACAAUCUGGCUGGCUGUGGUUGACAGCUUGGAGGAGAAUGAACAUACAUUUAAUUUGCUAAAGCGUCUUGCAUCAGAAGGGGAUGUAAGCAAAAUUGAAUCAAACUGCUUUGGUAGUUUUUUUGUGUUAUUAAUCAGCCAGUAGUUUAUAUUUGUUAUAUAUGUGGUAAGGGGCUAUCCAAAAAAUAAAGAUGGAGGGAGGGUAAGAGCAUGAAAGAUUUCCACCUUAGUCUAAACAGUUUUCAGAGUUGUUUGUGUGUGAUAUUCGAUAUGUCCCGUACUCAAGGUCCUAUGAAGUCCAACGGAGAGUGUUUGAAAGGCUUUUCACUGACUUCCGCGACUGCUUGAAUCAUGUGGAGUACCCUCAGCUUGGUAGGGCUACUAGCUAGCUUUGCAGCAUGCAAUCACAAAUGUAAAGUGUUUAUUUUAAAAUGUAAUGUAAUUUUGCAAGACGUGUAAAAUGGAACAUGACGGACAAAGAUUAAUUAAUGUUGCGAAAUAAAUGUCCUGAGUUUCAACCAGAA
Long non-coding RNA from Capsicum annuum, 1112 nucleotides. RefSeq lists it as uncharacterized. The transcript has 2 exons. Lineage: Eukaryota; Viridiplantae; Streptophyta; Magnoliopsida; Solanales; Solanaceae. The record is from RefSeq and is a predicted model, not a curated record.